GUUUGAUCCUGGCUGAGGAUGAACGCUGGCGGCGUGCUUAACACAUGCAAGUCGAACGAUGAUCUCCAGCUUGCUGGGGGGAUUAGUGGCGAACGGGUGAGUAACACGUGAGUAACCUGCCCUUGACUCUGGGAUAAGCCUGGGAAACUGGGUCUAAUACCGGAUAUGACCAUCUGGCGCAUGUCAUGGUGGUGGAAAGCUUUUUUGUGGUUUUGGAUGGACUCGCGGCCUAUCAGCUUGUUGGUGGGGUAAUGGCCUACCAAGGCGACGACGGGUAGCCGGCCUGAGAGGGUGACCGGCCACACUGGGACUGAGACACGGCCCAGACUCCUACGGGAGGCAGCAGUGGGGAAUAUUGCACAAUGGGCGCAAGCCUGAUGCAGCGACGCCGCGUGAGGGAUGACGGCCUUCGGGUUGUAAACCUCUUUCAGUAGGGAAGAAGCGUAAGUGACGGUACCUGCAGAAGAAGCGCCGGCUAACUACGUGCCAGCAGCCGCGGUAAUACGUAGGGCGCAAGCGUUAUCCGGAAUUAUUGGGCGUAAAGAGCUCGUAGGCGGUUUGUCGCGUCUGCUGUGAAAGACCGGGGCUCAACUCCGGUUCUGCAGUGGGUACGGGCAGACUAGAGUGC
This 628-nucleotide ribosomal RNA is filed under the name bacterium TN32B. RNAcentral describes it as "bacterial SSU rRNA". It matches the Rfam family "Bacterial small subunit ribosomal RNA", at positions 11 to 649 of the family's 1533-position model. The record is from RNAcentral.